This is a long non-coding RNA of Engraulis encrasicolus (European anchovy), 558 nucleotides long. RefSeq lists it as uncharacterized. The transcript is spliced from 3 exons. The record is from RefSeq and is a predicted model, not a curated record. NCBI's taxonomy places the organism in Eukaryota, Metazoa, Chordata, Actinopteri, Clupeiformes, Engraulidae.
UGGGGCCAAUGACAAGGAAGAUGGAGGUUAUGGAGAGGAAGUCCAUGACUUUGAAGGCUGCCAUGGCUUUGAACAUGCCACGACCUGCUGUUGGUCCAGUGCAGCAGAGAGCAUAAGGUGGAGCUAGACAGAAGCCUGGCUCAACCAGAAAUGAGAAACCAAAUGACCUUGGGAAAGCCUGGGAUGGGCGAAUACGGCAGCUGCUGUCCGCCGUGGGUGGCUACCCACACACCAUGUCCUGGGACAUUACAGCCUGAGGAGGAAUAGAACGUGCAUGCAUUCCAGAACCUGACCCUUUGCAAAGUUAUAACAGGUAAGAUUAGCAGGUAUAUUCUCCGUAAAAAAUAUCCGUGUAAAUCUGUGUUAUGCCAAGUUUGAUUCAGAUUUAAAUGUGCCACCUUUCUUUACAUCCAUUUGCAGAGACCUACACGCAGAACUUCUCUGUCCUGCAGGAAGCGAAUAUUGAGAAUAGCAUUGGGCAUACUCUGAAAUUUGGACUACACAGAUGGUCAGCUGGUCCUCAAGACUGAAAACACACACCAACAUUUUUAUUUUCUG